CUCCUGCCAACAAUUGGGACCCUCUUUCAAAAACCAACUGGCCCCGGAGGAUUCAUGUGUGGAGUCUCAGCCAUGCAAACACUAUCGUGAAUUAGUUCAAACAGAUGCCUUUCAAUAACACAGCUGCGGUAUCAGAACACGGAAGCAGGGUUUGCGAGCCCCGGCACUGUUGACUUUUGGGCUGGAGAAUUCUUUGAAGUGGGGAGCUGUUCUGGGCACUGUGAGACACUCAGCAGCCGCUCUGGCCUCUCCACCUUUAAUUGCAGUGGCUCAAAGUGUCUCUAGAUAUUGACAGACAUCCCCUCGAGGGCAUCCUCCUCCCCAGGUGUCUUCAAGCAGAUAUAUUCUACAUCUUCUCCCAGAUUUUAUGAUUGUGUUGAUCGGAACUGCUCAUCUUUCAUUGCAAGAAGACUAAAGUGGUCAACUUUCAUUUUCCUGGAAUGCAUUUAAAUCGGAGGUCAUGGGCAUCAGGUGUUGUGUCCCAGAGAAGUGGAAAAUGACUAAGUCAUCGUAUAUAUUAAUCCAGGGAAUAUCGGAUAAGCAAACACACUUCCCUGGAACUUGUGGCUUUGCAGUAACUUCAUGUUCCAAGUGUUGGGAAGUCUGUAAAUGUAGACCUGUUUCCUGGAGUCCUAUCAGUAUGAAGAAUCUUGAGCCAUUUCUGAUGCAAUCUACCCGCUACUCAAAUCCCCCUCAUCUCUCCACUGGAAUUGGAUUCCAGAUAAAGAAGAUAUCAGUUCUUCCAUACAAGUGAAUGCAGGUUGCUCUCGGGAUUUCCUGAUAUCUUUUUCCUCAUCUUUUCUGGAACACGUUGACUGACCAUCUUUUGGCAUUUGAGGAAGAGCUAACUGAUGUGUGCAUCCUUAAUCUUUAUUUAUUCUUUUUAUUUUAAAGAGAGUAGUAAAUGAGAAACAAACAAAAUAAUAGAACAGUAGCAGCAUACCAGUAUCACGAACAUAAAUACAUCAAAGCAAGAACAUUCAAAGUGAUAUAGGGUCUCAAGACAAAAUAAUACGAAUCAACAGUGGUUGUUACAUUACAUAUCGCUAUCCUCAACUACAUUGCUCAGAUUAUCAGAUGCAAGAAUGAAAGAAUGCUCAAACCAUUAAAGAGAAUAAAGGAAUAAUUCUUCUAUAAAACAUUAGAGAUAAU
RNAcentral lists this long non-coding RNA (1152 nucleotides) under Chinchilla lanigera (long-tailed chinchilla). RNAcentral describes it as "lncRNA (ENSCLAG00000026667.1)". The record is from RNAcentral. Lineage: Eukaryota; Metazoa; Chordata; Mammalia; Rodentia; Chinchillidae.